RNAcentral lists this ribosomal RNA (253 nucleotides) under uncultured bacterium. RNAcentral describes it as "partial 16S ribosomal RNA". It matches the Rfam family "Bacterial small subunit ribosomal RNA", at positions 524 to 776 of the family's 1533-position model. The record is from RNAcentral.
UACGAAGGGGGCUAGCGUUGUUCGGAAUCACUGGGCGUAAAGGGUGCGUAGGCGGGUCUUUAAGUCAGGGGUGAAAUCCUGGAGCUCAACUCCAGAACUGCCUUUGAUACUGAGGAUCUUGAGUCCGGGAGAGGUGAGUGGAACUGCGAGUGUAGAGGUGAAAUUCGUAGAUAUUCGCAAGAACACCAGUGGCGAAGGCGGCUCACUGGCCCGGUACUGACGCUGAGGCACGAAAGCGUGGGGAGCAAACAGG